Molecule: ribosomal RNA, 467 nt
Filed under: uncultured bacterium
Lineage: Bacteria
Description: partial 16S ribosomal RNA
Rfam family: Bacterial small subunit ribosomal RNA
Source: RNAcentral
ACGAACGCUGGCGGCGUGCUUCACACAUGCAAGUCGCACGGAAAGGCCCUGCUUUUGUGGGGUGCUCGAGUGGCGAACGGGUGAGUAACACGUGAGUAACCUGCCCUUGACUUUGGGAUAACUUCAGGAAACUGGGGCUAAUACCGGAUAGGAGCUCCUGCUGCAUGGUGGGGGUUGGAAAGUUUCGGCGGUUGGGGAUGGACUCGCGGCUUAUCAGCUUGUUGGUGGGGUAGUGGCUUACCAAGGCUUUGACGGGUAGCCGGCCUGAGAGGGUGACCGGCCACAUUGGGACUGAGAUACGGACCAGACUCCUACGGGAGGCAGCAGUGGGGAGUAUUGCACAAUGGGCGGAAGCCUGAUGCAGCAACGCCGCGUGCGGGAUGACGGCCUUCGGGUUGUAAACCGCUUUCGCCUGUGACGAAGCGUGAGUGACGGUAAUGGGUAAAGAAGCACCGGCUAACUACGUG